Molecule: transfer RNA, 69 nt
Filed under: Sitta himalayensis
Lineage: Eukaryota; Metazoa; Chordata; Aves; Passeriformes; Sittidae
Description: tRNA-Val
Rfam family: tRNA
About the family: Transfer RNA (tRNA) molecules are approximately 80 nucleotides in length. Their secondary structure includes four short double-helical elements and three loops (D, anti-codon, and T loops). Further hydrogen bonds mediate the characteristic L-shaped molecular structure. tRNAs have two regions of fundamental functional importance: the anti-codon, which is responsible for specific mRNA codon recognition, and the 3' end, to which the tRNAs corresponding amino acid is attached (by aminoacyl-tRNA synthetases). tRNAs cope with the degeneracy of the genetic code in two manners: having more than one tRNA (with a specific anti-codon) for a particular amino acid; and 'wobble' base-pairing, i.e. permitting non-standard base-pairing at the 3rd anti-codon position.
Source: RNAcentral
CAAGACGUAGCUUAAUUAAAGCAUUCAGCUUACACCUGAAAAAUGUCUGCUAGCCUCAGAUCGUCUUGA